Molecule: unclassified non-coding RNA, 197 nt
Filed under: uncultured fungus
Lineage: Eukaryota; Fungi
Description: sequence contains ITS1
Source: RNAcentral
GAAAUGCGAUACUUGGUGUGAAUUGCAGAAUCCCGUGAACCACGAGGCGGGUGCUCGCGGGAGGUCAGCAUACACCCCGCGCAGCAACAUUGUUACAUGUUUGCGUUGGGGAAACGAUGUGUGACACCCAGGCAGGCGUGCCCUCGGCCUAAUGGCUUCGGGCGCAACUUGCGUUCAAAGACUCGAUGGUUCACGGG